Molecule: non-coding RNA, 309 nt
Filed under: Vibrio vulnificus
Lineage: Bacteria; Pseudomonadati; Pseudomonadota; Gammaproteobacteria; Vibrionales; Vibrionaceae
Source: RNAcentral
CAUUGAACGGACGCAAUAGUAGCUAGGAUGGUUACUACUAAGGAAGGCAAUGGACACCUCUGGAUGAGGCAAGGACUGAACAUCAGGAAGAUGUCAGGGACACCGCUCAGGGAACAAGUGAUGUGAGCCAACGAGGAUUGUUGGUAGACCAGGAUAGGUCAAGGACACCGCUAGGAAGGCGACGAAAGGAUUAAGCUGACGGAUUCAGCAUACUAUCAAGGAUUUGAUGCAGGGAGCACUUUAGUAGCUGGAUUGCUGCAAGUAAGACCAUAACCCCGAUGGGCGCAAGCCCUCGGGGUUUUUCUUUGC